ACUCACAGCACAUCAAGUCACGCUCUGUCCCAUCAUUUCUGAAGGCAAAAAUGCCACUCAACACGACGUGACGGGACGGAACGCAACUCAGCGGCUGAAAAAACAACAGGAAACUUCUGGAGGUGUGACAUGGACCCCCAAAAUUACCCUGGAAUAAACCCUGGGAAGAUCCCAGGAGUCAAGGUGCAAAAAGGGGCAGCUGAGUGACUUCUGUCUUCGUGAAGCAAACUAUUCCCAUGUGCACACAAAAGGACCUUCAGCAGCAGGAUAUUUCCAUUUAAACACACCACUUAGGCACAGAAAGUGAAGUUUCCUCCAUUUUUGAAGAUUUCACUGGAAGAGCCUGAAUUCCUUAGCUGACAGGAUUGCAUCAGAGAAGUUUUUCAGCUUUGUGGGAGAAAGGAAGGAGGAAUCCACCCCCUAAAGAACAGCACAACAGUUUCCAGGCUGAAGUCUCUAACAAACACAACCUCCUCUGUGCUUCUGCAGACACAGACCCACCAGCCCUGUGAGAAGAUGAGUGUGUUUACCAUGUUGAAGAGAUCAGCAGCAGAUUUAUUGGACAGAGUAAAGCCUUUGGGCAGACGAGAAAAAUUCUAAAAAAUCCAGUUUCCAAGCAGGAAAUUUGAGGAGUGAUGCAGAGAUCGUGACAGAAGCUGAAAACUGCAUGCAGAGACAAUGCCUCAGUGUCAAACUUAACACAUGAAAACAGCA
This 714-nucleotide long non-coding RNA is filed under the name Junco hyemalis (dark-eyed junco). RNAcentral describes it as "lncRNA (ENSJHYG00000003301.1)". The record is from RNAcentral. Lineage: Eukaryota; Metazoa; Chordata; Aves; Passeriformes; Passerellidae.